UGGGGGCUAUUGCACAAUGGGCGAAAGCCUGAUGCAGCGACGCCGCGUGGGGGAUGAAGGCCUUCGGGUUGUAAACUUCUUUUGCUCUGAACAAGGCAUGCUAAUGGGUGUGUUGAGUGUAGGGGUUGAUUAGCGCCGGCUAACUACGUGCCAGCAGCCGCGGUAAUACGUAGGGCGCGAGCGUUGUCCGGAAUUAUUGGGCGUAAAGGGCUUGUAGGUGGCUGGUUGCGUCUGUCGUGAAAGCUCAUGGCUUAACUGUGGGUUUGCGGUGGGUACGGGCUGGCUUGAGUGCAGUAGGGGAGGCUGGAAUUCCUGGUGUAGCGGUGGAAUGCGCAGAUAUCAGGAAGAAUGCCGGUGGCGAAGGCGGGUCUCUGGGCUGUUACUGACACUGAGGAGCGAAAGCAUGGGGAGCGAACAGG
This 419-nucleotide ribosomal RNA is filed under the name bacterium. RNAcentral's name for it is "partial 16S ribosomal RNA". It matches the Rfam family "Bacterial small subunit ribosomal RNA", at positions 355 to 776 of the family's 1533-position model. The record is from RNAcentral.